AUUGAACGCUGGCGGCAUGCCUUACACAUGCAAGUCGAACGGCAGCACGGGAGCAAUCCUGGUGGCGAGUGGCGAACGGGUGAGUAAUAUAUCGGAACGUGCCCAGUCGUGGGGGAUAACGUAGCGAAAGCUACGCUAAUACCGCAUACGAUCUAUGGAUGAAAGCGGGGGGAUCGCAAGACCUCGCGCGAUUGGAGCGGCCGAUAUCAGAUUAGGUAGUUGGUGAGGUAAAGGCUCACCAAGCCGACGAUCUGUAGCUGGUCUGAGAGGACGACCAGCCACACUGGGACUGAGACACGGCCCAGACUCCUACGGGAGGCAGCAGUGGGGGAAUUUUUGGACAAUGGGCGGCAAGCCUGAUCCACGCAAUGCCCGCGUGCAGGA
Molecule: ribosomal RNA, 384 nt
Filed under: uncultured bacterium
Lineage: Bacteria
Description: bacterial SSU rRNA
Rfam family: Bacterial small subunit ribosomal RNA
Source: RNAcentral